UUGAGGUCCUUCAUUUGGUUUCAAUCUUUAUUCUCAUCUUAGUUCCUACAGUUAUAUAAUUUCUAAGUUGUAUUCGAUAAUUUGAAUUUCAUGGUUUAUUUAGGUGUCUCAUUCAUUUUAUAUCAAUAUUAUAUAAAAAAUUAAAAAUUAAAAAUUAUCUUAGUCCCCCCCCCCCCAAAAAAAAAAAAACUAUCAGCUACAAUUUUUGAAAAUAAGUUUGUUAUAAAGCAUAACUCUAUGAUAUACGUUUCUUCUA
RNAcentral lists this long non-coding RNA (256 nucleotides) under Phoenix dactylifera (date palm). RNAcentral's name for it is "long non-coding RNA (PDAC_LNC000766)". Lineage: Eukaryota; Viridiplantae; Streptophyta; Magnoliopsida; Arecales; Arecaceae. The record is from RNAcentral.